RNAcentral lists this non-coding RNA (28 nucleotides) under Mus musculus (house mouse). The record is from RNAcentral. Lineage: Eukaryota; Metazoa; Chordata; Mammalia; Rodentia; Muridae.
UAUAAAACUUUGCCAGCGCUCCUUUUGU